UGGGGAAUUUUGGACAAUGGGCGAAAGCCUGAUCCAGCCAUGCCGCGUGAGUGAAGAAGGCCUUCGGGUUGUAAAGCUCCUUUAGUCGGAAAGAAAGAGUUGCAAUGAAUAAUUGUGAUUUAUGAUGGUACCGACAGAAAAAGCACCGGCUAACUACGUGCCAGCAGCCGCGGUAAUACGUAGGGUGCGAGCGUUAAUCGGAAUUACUGGGCGUAAAGGGUGCGCAGGCGGUCUUGCAAGUCAGAUGUGAAAGCCCCGGGCUUAACCUUGGAAUUGCGUUUGUAACUACAAGGCUAGAGUGCAGCAGAGGGUAGUGGAAUUCCAUGUGUUGCAGUGAAAUGCGUAGAGAUGUGUAAGAACACCGAUGGCGAAGGCAGCUCCCUGGGUUGACACUGACGCUCAUGCACGAAAGCGUGGGGAGCAAACA
Molecule: ribosomal RNA, 427 nt
Filed under: uncultured bacterium
Lineage: Bacteria
Description: bacterial SSU rRNA
Rfam family: Bacterial small subunit ribosomal RNA
Source: RNAcentral